RNAcentral lists this ribosomal RNA (400 nucleotides) under uncultured bacterium. RNAcentral's name for it is "bacterial SSU rRNA". It matches the Rfam family "Bacterial small subunit ribosomal RNA", at positions 975 to 1375 of the family's 1533-position model. The record is from RNAcentral.
CAAGGCUUGACAUAUACGAGAACGCUCUAGAAAUAGAGAACUCUUUGGACACUCGUAUACAGGUGGUGCAUGGUUGUCGUCAGCUCGUGUCGUGAGAUGUUGGGUUAAGUCCCGCAACGAGCGCAACCCUCGUUCUAUGUUGCCAGCGGUUCGGCCGGGAACUCAUAGGAGACUGCCGGGGUCAACUCGGAGGAAGGUGGGGAUGACGUCAAAUCAUCAUGCCCCUUAUGUCUUGGGCUUCACGCAUGCUACAAUGGCCGGUACAAAGGGCUGCAAUACCGUAAGGUGGAGCGAAUCCCAAAAAGCCGGUCUCAGUUCGGAUUGAGGUCUGCAACUCGACCUCAUGAAGUCGGAGUCGCUAGUAAUCGCAGAUCAGCAACGCUGCGGUGAAUACGUUCCC